GCCCUCGGUGGCUCAGAUGGAUAGAGCGUCUGCCAUGUAAGCAGAGGAUCCCGGGUUCGAGUCCCGGUCGGGGCA
Molecule: transfer RNA, 75 nt
Filed under: Schistocerca americana (American grasshopper)
Lineage: Eukaryota; Metazoa; Arthropoda; Insecta; Orthoptera; Acrididae
Description: tRNA-Thr
Rfam family: tRNA
About the family: Transfer RNA (tRNA) molecules are approximately 80 nucleotides in length. Their secondary structure includes four short double-helical elements and three loops (D, anti-codon, and T loops). Further hydrogen bonds mediate the characteristic L-shaped molecular structure. tRNAs have two regions of fundamental functional importance: the anti-codon, which is responsible for specific mRNA codon recognition, and the 3' end, to which the tRNAs corresponding amino acid is attached (by aminoacyl-tRNA synthetases). tRNAs cope with the degeneracy of the genetic code in two manners: having more than one tRNA (with a specific anti-codon) for a particular amino acid; and 'wobble' base-pairing, i.e. permitting non-standard base-pairing at the 3rd anti-codon position.
Source: RNAcentral